RNAcentral lists this ribosomal RNA (548 nucleotides) under uncultured bacterium. RNAcentral's name for it is "bacterial SSU rRNA". It matches the Rfam family "Bacterial small subunit ribosomal RNA", at positions 108 to 689 of the family's 1533-position model. The record is from RNAcentral.
GAGUAACACGUGACUACCUGCCCUUGAGUGGGGGAUAACUUCGGGAAACCGAGGCUAAUACCGCAUAACAUCGCAAGAUCAAAGGAGCAAUCCGCUGAAGGAGGGGGUCGCGGCUGAUUAGCUAGUUGGUGAGGUAACGGCUCACCAAGGCGAAGAUCAGUAGCCGGCCUGAGAGGGCGCACGGCCACACUGGAACUGAAACACGGUCCAGACUCCUACGGGAGGCAGCAGUGGGGAAUUUUGCGCAAUGGGGGAAACCCUGACGCAGCAACGCCGCGUGGAGGAUGAAGUCCCUUGGGAUGUAAACUCCCUUCGAUCGGGACGAUUAUGACGGUACCGGAAGAAGAAGCACCGGCUAACUCUGUGCCAGCAGCCGCGGUAAUACAGAGGGUGCAAGCGUUGUUCGGAAUUAUUGGGCGUAAAGGGCGCGUAGGCGGUGCGGUAAGUCUGUGGUGAAAUCUCCGGGCUCAACUCGGAAAUUGCCAUAGAAACUGCCGUGCUGGAGUGUGGGAGAGGUGAGUGGAAUUCCCGGUGUAGCGGUGAAAUGC